GAUUGAGUUUGAUCCUGGCUCAGAUUGAACGCUGGCGGCAUGCCUUACACAUGCAAGUCGAACGGUAACGCGGGGCAACCUGGCGACGAGUGGCGAACGGGUGAGUAAUAUAUCGGAACGUGCCCAGUAGUGGGGGAUAGCCCGGCGAAAGCCGGAUUAAUACCGCAUACGACCUACGGGUGAAAGGGGGGGAUCGCAAGACCUCUCGCUAUUGGAGCGGCCGAUAUCAGAUUAGGUAGUUGGUGGGGUAAAAGCCCACCAAGCCGACGAUCUGUAGCUGGUCUGAGAGGACGACCAGCCACACUGGGACUGAGACACGGCCCAGACUCCUACGGGAGGCAGCAGUGGGGAAUUUUGGACAAUGGGCGCAAGCCUGAUCCAGCCAUGCCGCGUGCGGGAAGAAGGCCUUCGGGUUGUAAACCGCUUUUGUCAGGGAAGAAAUCCCUUGGGAUAAUACCUCGGGGGGAUGACGGUACCUGAAGAAUAAGCACCGGCUAACUACGUGCCAGCAGCCGCGGUAAUACGUAGGGUGCAAGCGUUAAUCGGAAUUACUGGGCGUAAAGCGUGCGCAGGCGGUUGUGCAAGACAGAUGUGAAAUCCCCGGGCUCAACCUGGGAACUGCAUUUGUGACUGCACAGCUAGAGUACGGUAGAGGGGGAUGGAAUUCCGCGUGUAGCAGUGAAAUGCGUAGAUAUGCGGAGGAACACCGAUGGCGAAGGCAAUCCCCUGGACCUGUACUGACGCUCAUGC
This 750-nucleotide ribosomal RNA is filed under the name Leptothrix sp. enrichment culture clone G37. RNAcentral's name for it is "bacterial SSU rRNA". It matches the Rfam family "Bacterial small subunit ribosomal RNA", at positions 1 to 752 of the family's 1533-position model. Lineage: Bacteria; Pseudomonadati; Pseudomonadota; Betaproteobacteria; Burkholderiales; Sphaerotilaceae. The record is from RNAcentral.